AAAAUUAUAGUUUUUAAUUUAUAUAUAAUCCAAAUUUUAAUAGUAUUGAAUAGAGAGAAUAGAAAUAUACAAAUAUUAAAACUAAUACUAUAAAUUAUCUUUAUGCAUUGAGGUUUUUAUUAAAGAUAGAUCAUAUAUUCAAAUAUAUUAUGUCAAUUAAUUAUAAGGAAUUGAAAAAAUAUAAUAUUAUUUAUUUAAUUUAAUUUAUGUGUAUUUUCACAGUUUAAAUAUGAAGUCAUUUGAAAAUUAUUAUAAAAAUAAAUGCUUUAUUUUAAAUUUAAAUCAUAUAAUUUUUAGUUUUAGAUUUUAAAAAAUAAUCUUACAUAUGUAUAUAUAUUCAUAUAUAUAUAUAUAUAUAUAUGGAUACGUUUCCAACACGUAUCCGCUUCUUAAUUUUUUUAAAAAUCUCGCUUCUGCGCUUCCAUACGCUUCCGCUUCCACGUACCCGCUUCCGUUUCCAUGUAAGAUAGCUUCAGUGCAAUUAGCUAAUCUUCAAACUUUUUGGUACUCAACGAUUUAAUCUAAUUCAUUAUACUAUAAAUAUACCUCUAAUAUUUCUUUAAUGAAAUCACUCUUGUGCAUUUAAAAGAUGGCUUAAAAAACGCUUUUGCUUACAAAAUAAUUUCAUAUCCAAUGGUUGUAAGGAAGAGAGAGACAGUGGAAACUUUGAUUAGAUCUAGAAAAACAUAUCAUUUCUACUACUUUUCUUAGCUAUCUUUAGAAAAAUAAAAAUGGUUAAAAGACAACACAAUGUUUUCUCAGUGUUAAAGUAUCGCUAUAUUAAGAUAUUAGAAGAUCACAUAACAAUGUUCAGUUAUUCAAAGUAUUGAAGGGUCUCUUGCAAAAUAUGUUUGAUCUUUAAUAAGGUUUUAGAUGAUUUUAAUGAAUUGCAUGGAUUAAAGUGAUUUUUGUUUAAUCAUCCUAGAAUAUCAACUAAAACCAUGAGAUUUGAAUUUUAAUUUUUUAACUAAUAAAUUCUUCCAAAACACUUUAAAAUCACUUGAAAAAUUUAAAACUAUACAACUUAGAAUAUUAUUAAUAGCACUGGAUUUCAGAGUACUUCAUAAAAUGUCAAGUUCAAUAACACUAGAUUUUAAAUAUCUUUUUUAAUUCAUAUUUGAAUAAUAGUGAAUUUGUCAAAUCUCAAUUGAAUACACCUCUUCUCCCCCCCUCCCUCCUCCCCCCCCAAAACAAAAACAAAAUUCCAAAAUAAUCAACUGAACCAUAUAUUUCAACAGACCAAAAAUAAACUCCAAAUUUAAUGGAAAAUGUAAAAUUAUUUAUAAAACUUAUUUUACAUAAAUUUAAAAUAAAUGAAAUCCCGCGCUAAGCGCGGGUUAGAAUCUAGUUUUUUUUUAAAUCAGAGGCAAAAAGUUAACCUAGAACUACUUAAUUUAGGUUUCCAAACACUCUUCAACAAUAAAGACAAAACUAUACCCUUAUCUCUUAUCUCGUUUAGAAUAACCCUUUUUGUGACCUUUUUCCAAGCUUUCCCUUUCAUCAUUUUAAUUAGAUUGGGGAUUUAAUUGAUAUGCUGAAUCGAAGGCCGAGCAGAACUAGAGGAGUUCGACAGGUGGAUUCGGCGAGGGCUAGGGUUACGAAUCGGUGAUUACGGUGAGGGCUAGGGUUACGAAUUGGAGAACUGCUGCUAUAGUUUACAUGUACGAGAAAUUUUUCUUAUAUAAAUUUCAUUUUGUUAAAUACUGAUUAAGAAAAUAAAAAUAUAUAUUUUUUAAAAAGUUAAAAGAUGAAAAACUAACGUGAUGUUAUUGUAGAAACUUGAAAAAAGAGGUUUCUGGUUUUUCUUUAGAAAGUAACAAUUUGUUUCAAAAACCAGUUUUCCUAAAUUAUAGAGAAUCUAUUUCUUCAAACUUGAUUGGCUAAAAAGUGGUUUUUCGAAAACAAAAACUAAACACUACUGCAGAAUUAGAGUUAAUUAGGGUUUGGUUAAUUAGUUUUUGGUUUAAUGUGAUCUGGUUUUCUUAGUUUCUUUAAUUCUAGUUUAGUUUUGCAAAACUAAUUUUAUUUGUAAAUUGGUUUUAAUUAACAAAUAUAAUUUAAUUUAAUUUUAAAUUUGGAUUUAUUUGUAUUUUAAUUUUAAUAUUAAUUUAUAUUUAAUUCCAUUGUAUGUUACAUACACAUUAAUAUAUAAUUGCUAUUAUAGAAAGACCUAUAGCACGAAAUAUGAAUCGUAGUUAACUUAAUAACAUCAUCCAAAAUAUUGCUAUCGCAUAUGUACAUUUUUUUGUCAUUGAAAUCAAAUUAAGGCCGAAGCCAACGUGUUCAACCGAAACUUGUUUAUAGGAAAGCCAUAAAUAAUAGAAAGACAACAACACCAGUAGGUGCCAAACAAAACCCAUACACUAGGCAAAGAAAAUUAAGUAGCAGGAUUAACAGAGCACCUGCAGCGUCAAAAAAGUGUUAUCAUAGAGGGGAUACCUACGAUGGCUGUCUAUAAUAUAGCAUUUAUGAAUUCACUAUAAAACAUCUACGAUAGCAUAUUUUCCGCAUUAAGAAUGUACAUAUUUCUUGUAGUGAUUAUAUAAAUGAUUUAUGUCUGAUUGCACUAUUAAACCGUUCUAUUCCGGUCUGGUAACCCAGACCAUCUCAAGUUUGAGUAAUAGAAUAGCCGUUCGCUGUAAAAAAAAUGUCUUAUAAAAUUCACAUUUGGCUAUAUUCCUUACACCAUGCUGAAUUUUUUUUGUAAUAUUUUUUCUAUUAAUCUGCAUAAUUCAUUCUUUUGAGAUUCUAAAUACAAACUUCCUUAUGUACAGAGGCGGACCCACGUGUUAGGAAGGGGUUGCACCUGCAACAGGUUAAAUAUAAUAUUAGUGAGUUUUAUUCAUUGUAUACAAAGAUAAUGUAGCUCAGUUGGUACAAAGCCUGCUUUCUUGAACCCCCAUUCCCGAGUUCAAACCCCCUAGAUACCAUUUUUUUCUUAUUUUUAUAAAAAGUAUUUUAUAUUGGGCUGAAACUAAAACAUUUGACACCCCUAAAAAGAGAGGCUGGGUCCGCCACUGCUUAUGUAACAACGUUAACGAACCUUUUAUCAUACCAGUGGACUAAAGGACCUUCCACCACUAAUUUCUUGUCCAUCUGAUGAUUUAAGAUGACCGUUAGGUGACGAUACUGGCAGUGUUCAUAGUGACACCAAUCUCUCUUUGCUUUUCGUUCUCGAUGAGUUGGAAGAUGAGGAUAUAUAACAGUUAUCCAUUGUGUUUGUUGCCUGCGCUGGAAUACUUUAGUGGUGAAUAAUGAUUUAUGUAUUUUGGGCCUUUUAAUAUUUUGGACUUUAGGUUUAGGCGUUUGAAAAAAUGGGCCUUUAUUGAAUAAAGUACCGUUUUUUAGUAAACACAAAAUCAACAUUUUUGCGGGGAACCAUAUAAUUUAAUAUUCAGAUCACAUAAAUCUGAUCAAAUGUACAAGCAAAUGGUUAAAAUAUGUGUGGUUUGACGACAGUGAAUUGCUCGGAAUUGGUUAAGGUUAUCAAUCAUGGAGAAGAACUCCGAGAUAUAAGAGCUUUGAUUUAUGGUAUACGAAGACUGAAUUGGAUGUAUGCUGAGACGAGGAGAGUAGAAUAUCAAAUACAAACUCAUAUAUAAUUCAUGAAUAUAGAUUGCAAUAAGUGUAUAUAUAUUAUCAACUCCAAAUCACGGAGGCUCUUGUAUCAUGCAUUAAGUUAAUUAAACUACGUCAAAUAUGAAUGGUUUUGUAUUUUGGCAGUAUUUAGUUAUAUAUAGCGCUGAGGUUUUUGAUCAAAUAAUCGUGAAAAGUUUAAAUGCAUACGAAUCUUUUCAGUUUCGAGAGAGUUCUCGAGUCUGUUGCUGUCUUUCCUCGAGAUUUCAUAUGAUAAUUUUUAAUAUUGUCAAGGUAGCCAUCAACUCUAUUAUGAUAUUAACGAACAAAUCCCAAAACUGGCCAAAUUUUUUUUUUUUUUUUUUUAAAAACUGGCCAAUUGUGUUAUAUUAAAAAACAAAAUAAUAAUCUAUUUUUUCAAAAUAAAAUAAAAUAAUAAUAGGUACACUACAAGAAACAUUGAUUAUUAUAAGACGUAUAUUAACUAUAAUAUGCAUGGAAGUCUUACGUAAGUGCUUUUUCAAUAAAAAGAAAGUCUUACGUAAGUGCCUUAAGUGGCCACAUCAACUGCACAACCAUUGCGAUUUCGUAUCAAAUUAUAUCAUUUUGUAUGUAUAAUGUAUACACAAAUGUAUCCCGUUUUUUAUGUAUAGAUAAAUGGAUUUUUUGGUCAUUAUCUGCUGACUCUGCUCCUCUCAACUGUUUAGGGUUCAGAGUCUUUUGUCUAUACGAACAAUCUGUUAAACAUAAUAAGAAAAUGAAUAUAUACGGGAAUUACAAUCUAUAGUUUAUUGCCUAUACUCGAAAUUAACGGUGAGUACGUUUGUGUUUGGAUAAAUCGCAAGAAAGACGAACCACAUUAUAACUGAAAUUGUUUUCUGAAAUUAAUGGUACUUAAAAAUGAGGGGAAUUUCAAAAGUUGACCACAAAUUUGAUUAAGAAUGCUUAAGAAUGUGAUAAUUGUGAUAUUUUGUUGCAUUUAUAAGAGCACUUCCAUCCAUGAUAUCUUAUAGAAAAUAUAUAAUGAAGAUAAUAUAAUAUAGACAAAAAAUAAUAACUUUUCUCAAAAGAUAAAUAAUAACUCAUAAGCAAAUAUCAUACAAUAACUAAAAGGAAAAUAUUCUCAAUGCUCAAGCUGUCCACGUCAGAUUUUAUAUUCAGACCAAUCAAAGGACAGUAUUUUACCACAUCACAACAACUUAGAGUAACUGGGCCUCCCGUGAAAUUAAAUUAAAUCAUGGCCCAUAACCCUUAUAAAACCUAGCUGCCAAAAUCUCCUAAGCAUCAAUUAAAACGACGCUUUCCACUUCAUCUUCUACACCUCCAAUUCCUCAAAUCGUCGUUACAGACCCCAUUCCUGAUCAAUCAAUGAUGCUCUUUAAUCCUUUCUUCAUGGUUUCGUUCCAUCUCCCCUUCAUUCUCCUCUUAUAUAAAUCUCUACAUUUAAACCUAAAUCCAGAAAAAAACGGAAAUCUCCACAGAAAGAUAUCACGCUAUAACCAUGAAGUAUACAAUACUUUGUGAUUUAUAUUGAUUAUAUGAUUUGAUUUUUGAUUGCAUUUGUAUAUACAAAAUUGUUCUGUCAAUUAUUAUUGUUUGUUUCUGAUGUCUGUCGAUAUUGGGUUAUGCAAGUGUGUUCAGGAAGGAGAGGAAAAAAUUGAGUUACAUUAAGUUAUAUUAUCUAGCAAGCAAUCUGCAAAAGUGAAGUCAGCCCAUAUUAGGGUUGAGCUCCUCUUCUCUUCAUCUCCGCCAUUCGACCCCCGGCCUGAGUUUUAAAAGCGUUGAUUCGUCUUCUUCCAAACAAUCGAAGAGUAACCAGUUACGGAGUAACCAAGUUUCAUGUUUAAAUCUUCACUGAAUUCUGUUUAGGCUUAACGGCAGUGAAGGUUCCGAAAAUCUCAGAGAAAUUAAUCGUCGUCAGUAAUCGGUAUGUCUAUGAGGUUUAGCGUUGUUUGGCUCUCGAUUCAUCUUCUCUUAGGCGUUAAAACUUGCAUUGAUUCAUCGUCAUUAACUAUUUCGAUCCACUGAAAAACGAUCACUCAUUCAAUGACUCUUCCAAGCAUUGAAUCUCCACCUAUAAAAAACCGCAGCUCAGGCCUUUAAUGGCGGCGAAAGGAAAUCUUGGUGGCCGAAGAAGGAAGGUCAUCACUUGGCGGUGGUGGUGGUGGUCUGGGUUUGUUUGUGUAACGGGCGCCUGCACCUCCUGUCAAGUUCUCCGACGAGGGGCUAUAAACAACAUAAUCUGUUGCUCAUAUCAAACGUGUCACUGAAAUCUAAAUUGAGGCCUCAGUGGUUGUUAACUCAACAAAAUGAAUGCCAUGGUGGAAAAAUCAUCUCUUAUUACUUGAUUCGUGCUCAGGUUUAUAUGUUUGCAGAGUUUGACAAUGAAACCGGUGAUGAUCAAUGCUUCUUCAGUAAGUCCACAGGUUAUGUUAACACUUGCGGUAAUUGCUUCAAAAGUUCUUCAAAGUAUGGAGAUGUCCAGAAAAUAGAACCAGUAAUGGUGUCAAAUGUUAAUUCGCCAGCAUAGGUCAGUAUCGUAGUAGGUUCUUCUUUUAAAGGAGCAGGUGUGGAGGACCCACUUGAGAGCAAUAUCCUACAUGUCAGCAGAAUCUACACAUCUUAGUUUAAGUAGUCCGAUUUCAAAUUCUUCGCACAAUAAAGUCAUACUUUUGAUUUGCUUAUUUGCUACUUUUUAUCAACUUGAUAAUGUCGCUGCGACUUUCCUGACGUUGAGGUACGAUCAUGAAAAGCAACAAAUUUUUGGUCUCUGGAUUCUCAAUGGUGCAUUUAUAAUAAUAGUAUUCAAUUUCAGAAUAUUAUUCA
This is a long non-coding RNA of Brassica rapa (field mustard), 6402 nucleotides long. RefSeq lists it as uncharacterized. Lineage: Eukaryota; Viridiplantae; Streptophyta; Magnoliopsida; Brassicales; Brassicaceae. The record is from RefSeq and is a predicted model, not a curated record.